Molecule: ribosomal RNA, 414 nt
Filed under: uncultured microorganism
Description: bacterial SSU rRNA
Rfam family: Archaeal small subunit ribosomal RNA
Source: RNAcentral
CAGCCGCCGCGGUAAUACCGGCGGCCCGAGUGGCGGUCACUAUUAUUGGGCUUAAAGCGUCCGUAGCCGGGUUGGGAAGUCCUCCGGGAAAUCUGGCCGCUUAACGGUCAGAAUGCCGGAGGAUACUCCCAGCCUAGGGAGCGGGAGAGGCCGAGGGUAUUCCCGGAGGAGGGGUGAAAUCCUAUAAUCCCGGGAGGACCACCGGUGGCGAAGGCGCUCGGCUGGAACGCGUCCGACGGUGAGGGACGAAGGCCAGGGGAGCGAACCGGAUUAGAUACCCGGGUAGUCCUGGCUGUAAACGAUGCGGACUUUGUGUCGGACAAGCUAUGAGCUUGUCCGGUGCCGGAGGGAAACCGUUAAGUCCGCCGCCUGGGGAGUACGGCCGCAAGGCUGAAACUUAAAGGAAUUGGCGGG